Molecule: long non-coding RNA, 224 nt
Filed under: Vigna radiata
Lineage: Eukaryota; Viridiplantae; Streptophyta; Magnoliopsida; Fabales; Fabaceae
Description: long non-coding RNA (VRAD_LNC014240)
Source: RNAcentral
CAAGCUUUAAAGUACAGAUAAGAAAACCCAAACUAUUGAUAAUACAAGUAUAUGAAUAAAAUAGGAAUUUCAAUAUAAGAGAGUUUCACGAAGAUUCCAUUGUUCCCCAACAACAAAGGGUUUAGUUCAUCAUUGACAUGGUGAAACUAUAUGGAUUUAAUGGAAAGAAUGAAAGAAUAAACCCUAGAAUUGGUAAAUUCGAGCUUUUUGCCUCUCUAUUCUCC